RNAcentral lists this ribosomal RNA (216 nucleotides) under Triticum aestivum (bread wheat). RNAcentral describes it as "partial small subunit ribosomal RNA". The record is from RNAcentral. Lineage: Eukaryota; Viridiplantae; Streptophyta; Magnoliopsida; Poales; Poaceae.
AUGUGGAUUUGGGAGGAUUCCGGUGCAGUUGGUUUUCCGAGAUCGCGCAGAGAUACCCAACUUGUCAGACAGACUUUCAACCAUGAGGAAGCGGAGGUGAUCCUGAAGAUUCCAAUAUACCAGCAGCACGAGGAUUUCAUAGCUUGGCAGUUUGACAGCAAGGGUUGCUUCUCGGUUCAAUCAGCCUACAGGAUUUAUUGUGAGUUGCAGCUGUAG